This 1385-nucleotide small RNA is filed under the name Homo sapiens (human). RNAcentral describes it as "long intergenic non-protein coding RNA, regulator of reprogramming". Lineage: Eukaryota; Metazoa; Chordata; Mammalia; Primates; Hominidae. The record is from RNAcentral.
GCUCAUGAAAUUUGGUGAUGUGACUCGGAUAGGGGGACCUCCCUUGGGAGAUCAGUACCCUGUCCUCCUGCUCUUUGCUCCGUGAGAAAGAUCCACCUACAACCUCAGGUCCUUAGACCAACCAGCCCAAGAAACAUCUCACCAAUUUCAAAUCCAGACCCCACUGGAAAUCGGACUGUCCAACUCACCUGACAGCCACUCCCACAGCCGCUGGAACUCUGGCCCAAGGCUCUCUGACUCCUUCCCAGAUCUUCUUGGCUUAGCGGCUGAAGACUGACGCUGCCCGAUCGCCUCGGAAGCCCCCUAGACCAUCACGGACGCCGAGCUUCGGGUAACUCUCACAGUGGAAGAAGAAAACAGAUUCGGUUUACCUGAGACUCAACUUCAAUCCCUUGGACAGAAGAGUGCUAUGCUAGGUGCCAGAAACACAACUACAGAUUUCUACCUGGUGCAUGGCCAUCGCUCAUGAAGACUACAACUUCCAGCUUCCUUUGAAGAAAAAGAGGACUUGAUGGCAUUGUCGCUAAGUAAGAAAUAAUGUGUGUGACUUCAGGGUUGCCCCCUUAAAGGGAGGGGACAUUUUCCAUCCUGCUGUUCAGAGUAUGGAUGUGAUGAGAGACAUCUUGGAUGAUGCAGAGGAGGUGAACACCCCAGGACAAUGAAACCACAGGAGAGAAAGAGCCUGCGCUGGCCCAUCUAGCACAGCCACUGGACACAGGGACCACCUGCCUCUGCACUCUUAUGGAAGGAGGAAAUCUAACUUUCCCAGUUUAAGGCACUGUUACUUUGGGCUCCUGUUACAUAACUGUGGCAGAAUGAAGGUUCAACAUGGAAACUGGCAAUGUUGAAGAAACAUAAAGUUCAUUGCUUGAAUAUCUGAAGUUGUGGACUCAAUCUCAUACCUGCUCCACUUAUGAGCCCCGUUAGGGCAUGAGCUGCUGAAUGAUUCAUGUGAACACCAUGCACAUGGGAGUGAGGUUUUGAGCAGUGUGCCACAGGAGCCUACCCUCAGGCCCCACCAUAAAAUGUAGGGCCAGUCCUACAUUUUAUCAAUGACUUGCGUGAACACAGAAAAUGUGGAUACAACCAAAAGGUAACAAUCCAAUUAAAAAAUGGACAAAAAACUUGAAUAAACAUUUCUCAAAAGAAGAUAUACAAAUGAUCAAAAAGCAUAUGAAAAAAUGCUCAACAUCGCUAAUUGUAAGAGAAAUGCAAAUCAAAACUAUAAUGAGAUACCACCUUAUAUUGAUUAGGAAGACUGCUAUAAAAAUAGUAAACAAACAAACAAACAAAGUAAGUCUUGGGGAGGAUGCAGAGAAAUUAAAAUUUUUGUGCACUGUUAGUGGGAAUGUAAAAUGGUGCAGCUGUUACGGGAAACGGUAUGA